UACCGGGUGGCGACCGGCGCACGGGUGAGUAACACGUAUCCAACCUGCCCUUUACUCGGGGAUAGCCUUUCGAAAGAAAGAUUAAUACCCGAUAGCAUAAUGAUUCCGCAUGGUUUCAUUAUUAAAGGAUUCCGGUAAAGGAUGGGGAUGCGUUCCAUUAGGUUGUUGGUGAGGUAACGGCUCACCAAGCCUUCGAUGGAUAGGGGUUCUGAGAGGAAGGUCCCCCACAUUGGAACUGAGACACGGUCCAA
Molecule: ribosomal RNA, 251 nt
Filed under: uncultured bacterium
Lineage: Bacteria
Description: partial 16S ribosomal RNA
Rfam family: Bacterial small subunit ribosomal RNA
Source: RNAcentral